RNAcentral lists this ribosomal RNA (484 nucleotides) under uncultured bacterium. Its description in RNAcentral is "partial 16S ribosomal RNA". It matches the Rfam family "Bacterial small subunit ribosomal RNA", at positions 30 to 507 of the family's 1533-position model. The record is from RNAcentral.
UUGCACGCUGGCGGCAGGCUUAACACAUGCAAGUCGAGCGGGGAAAGGUAGCUUGCUACCUGACCUAGCGGCGGACGGGUGAGUAAUGCUUAGGAAUCUGCCUAUUAGUGGGGGACAACAUCUCGAAAGGGAUGCUAAUACCGCAUACGUCCUACGGGAGAAAGCAGGGGACCUUCGGGCCUUGCGCUAAUAGAUGAGCCUAAGUCGGAUUAGCUAGUUGGUGGGGUAAAGGCCUACCAAGGCGACGAUCUGUAGCGGGUCUGAGAGGAUGAUCCGCCACACUGGGACUGAGACACGGCCCAGACUCCUACGGGAGGCAGCAGUGGGGAAUAUUGGACAAUGGGGGGAACCCUGAUCCAGCCAUGCCGCGUGUGUGAAGAAGGCCUUUUGGUUGUAAAGCACUUUAAGCGAGGAGGAGGCUACCGAGAUUAAUACUCUUGGAUAGUGGACGUUACUCGCAGAAUAAGCACCGGCUAACUCUGUG